Molecule: long non-coding RNA, 1458 nt
Filed under: Carassius auratus (goldfish)
Lineage: Eukaryota; Metazoa; Chordata; Actinopteri; Cypriniformes; Cyprinidae
Description: lncRNA (ENSCARG00000001040.1)
Source: RNAcentral
AUGAUCGAGGCAAUUGUGAGGUUCCGCCAUGGGGCGGCAGGUAGUCAGUCAAUGCCAUCUGCACAAGACUAUCAGGAUGCUGAGAUAGACCUACUGAGACGAGUUCAGUUAGACUGCUUUGAGGAAGACUUUCAACACCUUUCAGAAAGAAAACCCGUCCCUUCCACCAGCCGUUUGAUUACAUUAGCUCCUGAAUAUGAUGAUCAACUGAAGCUGAUUCGGGUUGGAGGCAGAUUGCGUCAGACUACCUUGCUGGACACAGAAGCCAUUCAUCCCAUAGUUCUGGAUCCAGCUCACCAGGUGACUAAACUUAUCAUUCAAGAUGCUGACCGAGACCUCCAUCAUCCAGGCUCAGAGCGAUUAUUUGCAGAACUUCGCAGACGAUACUGGAUUCUUCGUGGAAGAGAAGCUGUGAAGCGGCACCAGUUCUCCUGUCCUGAUUGUCGGAGAUGGAGAGCGAAGCCUGCAGUGCCACAAAUGGCAGACUUACCUCCCGCCCGUCUGCGGUUGAUGAAGCCUCCUUACUUCUCUACCGGAAUGGAUUGUUUCGGGCCCUUCACGGUCAAAAUCGGACGGCGUAAUGAGAAACGUUGGGGUAUACUAUUUAAGUGCCUCACUACCCGAGCAGUCCAUAUCGACGUCCUGACUAGUCUCGACCAGGAUUCCUUCCUGAUGGCCCUCCGCAGAUUUAUCUCACGCAGGGGAAAACCAGCGGAGCUUCUGUCGGAUCAGGGCACGAAUUUCAGAGGAGGUGAGAGGGAAAUCCAUGAAUCUUUCAAGGCACUGCACCCCACUUUACAGGCAGAACUGGCCAAACAUCAGAUCCAGUUUAGAUUUAACCCUCCAAGUGCCCCUCACUUUGGUGGUGCAUGGGAGAGGGAAAUUAAAUCUAUCAAAGCUGCCCUGUAUGCAACAAUUCAGAUGCAGACGGUGACAGAAGAAGUCCUGCGCACGGUCCUGAUUGAGAUCGAGGGCAUCCUAAACUCUAAGCCCUUGGGGUAUGUGUCCAGUGACGUCGCGGACCCUGAUCCAGUAACCCCCAAUUUGCUUGUGAUGGGGCGGCCCGACCCCUCACUGCCCCAGGUGUUGUGUCCUGAGUCCGAGCUGUUGAGCCGCCGCCGCUGGAGGCAUACACAGGUCCUUGCCGACCAAUUUUGGAGGGCAUUUAUCAGGCACUAUCUGCCGGCCCUGCAAACGCGCACCAAGUGGCAGAAAGAUGUGGCCCCAUUACAACCUGGUACUGUCGUCAUGAUCAUUGAUCCGCAGCUCCCGAGGGCGCUCUGGCCUAUUGGUCGCAUCACAAAGGUUAUCCCAGGUGCAGAUGGGAGGAUAAGGACAGCGGAGAUCCAGGUGAACGACAGGAAAUACAUCAGGCCAGUUGCCCGUCUUGUUCAACUUCCUGCCAUACCUGAGACAGCACCUGAGACCAACAGUCCUUCUAUGGGACAGCAAAUUUGA